UAGUAUCAGGAAGUAGAGGAAGAAAUGGAAUGGACCUUACAGGUAGAAGACAAAAACAUCUGAGGUAGUAUCAGGAAGUAGAGGAAGAAAUGGACCUUACAGGUAGAAGACAAAAACAUCGGAGACUUGUGACUUACAUCUAAAAUGAGUCUCUCUG
Molecule: long non-coding RNA, 157 nt
Organism: Coregonus clupeaformis (lake whitefish)
Lineage: Eukaryota; Metazoa; Chordata; Actinopteri; Salmoniformes; Salmonidae
Exons: 3
Source: RefSeq, a predicted model, not a curated record